RNAcentral lists this transfer RNA (60 nucleotides) under Terracoccus luteus. It matches the Rfam family "tRNA", at positions 17 to 71 of the family's 71-position model. Rfam says of the family: Transfer RNA (tRNA) molecules are approximately 80 nucleotides in length. Lineage: Bacteria; Bacillati; Actinomycetota; Actinomycetes; Micrococcales; Intrasporangiaceae. The record is from Rfam by way of RNAcentral.
GGCCUGACGCGCGUCCGACUGAAAAUCGGAAGGUCGGCGGUUCGACCCCGCCCCUGGCCA